UUGCUGGAGCUCACCUUCACUAGUUUGGUCGGAGUAUUUUAAAAACAUUUUCUGUUAUUUUACUUACAAGAUAAAAUGAAAUGAAAGACCAAUUAACAGAGACAAAGGUUGAGGAAAGGAUAUAUCAGGUCACGACGGGUCAAUUCUUAAUUUUGACCCUGAAACCCAGAGUGCAAGUACCCCUUUGGAAAAAACGGUCACUGCGACUCAACAAUGUGACAAAUGUGGGAAAACAUACCAAACCACGCAGGGUCUAAGAGUCCAUAAGAAAAGAGAACAUGAGGAACCUCCUUUCAGUUGUGCACAGUGUCCUAAAAAAUAUGUAUCAAGGACUUUGUUUCGAUCUCAUGUUUUGAAUCAUGUGCAGGAGAAGCAAUACAAGUGUAAGGAUUGUGGAAAGGACUAUGUCCACAAUAAGGACCUACAGAUACACAUCAAGGCAAAACACUUACAACAGAAAUUUGCGUGCAAGGAGUGUGGCACCAGCUUUUCUUAUAAAAGAUCUUUAAGAAGACAUGAACAAGCAGAAC
Mytilus trossulus (common blue mussel) is the source of this 530-nucleotide long non-coding RNA. RefSeq lists it as uncharacterized. The transcript has 4 exons. Lineage: Eukaryota; Metazoa; Mollusca; Bivalvia; Mytilida; Mytilidae. The record is from RefSeq and is a predicted model, not a curated record.